RNAcentral lists this ribosomal RNA (321 nucleotides) under uncultured Chloroflexota bacterium. Its description in RNAcentral is "bacterial SSU rRNA". It matches the Rfam family "Bacterial small subunit ribosomal RNA", at positions 28 to 351 of the family's 1533-position model. Lineage: Bacteria; Bacillati; Chloroflexota. The record is from RNAcentral.
GAUGAACGCUGGCGGCGUGCUUAAUACAUGCAAGUCGAACGGAGAAUGUAGCAAUACGUUCUUAGUGGCGAACGGGUGAGUAACGCGUUGGUGACCUGCCUCGAAGAGAGGGAUAACAGUCCGAAAGGAUUGCUAAUACCUCAUGUGAUUGUAGGGUUUAGAAGCUUACAAUUAAAGGAGUAAUUCACUUCGAGAGGGACCUGCGUACCAUCAGCUAGUUGGUGAGGUAAUGGCCCACCAAGGCGAUGACGGUUAGGGGACCUGAGAGGGUGGCCCCCCACAAUGGAACUGAAACACGGUCCAUACACCUACGGGAGGCAG